GAGUUAUGCAACUCUAUAAGGGCCCGUUUGGUUCAAGUUAUGUAAUAUUACAAAGUAUCUCGACAUAUCCAGGUAUCUUGGAUUUCGGCAUGAGAUUACUACUGAUGCUGCAUUAGAGCGUUUGGUUUAAUACAGUAAUGUAAUACUAGAUUACAGUGUUUAUAGCAUUAAUAUGUUUGGUUCAGUUUAUAAAAUUUAGUAAUCCUGACAUAAAAGUAUAGUUUUUUUCUAAAAUUGCUCUUGUUGUUGUCAUUUGAAUAUUAUUUUUUACGGAAAUGACGAAUGGAGGGAAAGAGAUCGUGAUGAUUACUUGGGAGGAUGACGCAAUAGAAGACGAUAGGUAUUCGUGCGCGCGUGAGAGAGAGAGAGAGAGAGAGAGAGACGUUGAGAGAGAGAGAGCGAGAGAAAGCGGCGUGCGAGAGAGAGGGCCGGGGGGAAGGCAAGAGAGAGAUGAAAAUAAUACUGUUAAUUAGAUUUGGGGUUGUUGGAGGGUAAAAUUGUCAUUUUACAUAAUAUAUAGUAUUAACGGGUUUCAGUAAUGCAAGAUACACGACCCCCCUUCUGUUAAUAUUUUCGAUGUAAUCCUGUUCGAUUUGUAAUACUAUAUUAACGACUAGAUUACAUAGCGGAUUAACCAAACACAGUUAUCCUGGCAGAAUUGCCUGUAAUCCUGCCAGGAUAACUCGAACCAAACACACUCUAAGUGAAACCUCCACUUGAACAUUUUAAGGGAAAAAAAAAAGUUAUAAACUUAGCAGACAAAGCAUUUUCCUUUUAUUCUGGUCAAUAGCAGUGCUAGUAUGUUUGGAGCACUUAUAUAUGAGAGACAAUUCCUUAUAUGCUUCUGAAAAGUUGCCGACUUUUUUAUUUAUUUUUUUUAGAAAGCUAAUAUUAAAAAUAUUUUUUAAAUAUUUUAAGUUAUUUCAAAUAUAUUUUUAGAGUUAAAUUCUGUCAGUAAACUGUUAGCAACAACAGUUAUUUUCAUAAAAUUAUUAUUUCGUCCUUUCAAAUGUAUCUUAUUUGUUCUUAAAUUAGGGCCAAAAAAAAUAUUUUGACUUCUUGUAACUCAAGUAGAAAUUUAUUUCGGAUUUAAGCCAAAAUAACUUAACAAGUACUAACAGCAAAAGUAUUUUUGAAUAACAGAGAAAUAUACUAAAAAUAUAUUUAAAAUAAAAAAAUAAAGAUAUAUAAGAUAUUUCAGAAGUUUUCGGAGAUAUAUUAGAUAUCAUCCCUGUAUAAUACAUAUACCUAAAACUUUUAUUACACACCGGCCUCCUAUUCAUAUAAACUAAACUUUCUC
RNAcentral lists this long non-coding RNA (1300 nucleotides) under Ananas comosus (pineapple). Its description in RNAcentral is "long non-coding RNA (ACOM_LNC011753)". The record is from RNAcentral. Lineage: Eukaryota; Viridiplantae; Streptophyta; Magnoliopsida; Poales; Bromeliaceae.